This 1588-nucleotide ribosomal RNA is filed under the name Trichobilharzia longicauda. RNAcentral's name for it is "partial large subunit ribosomal RNA". It matches the Rfam family "Eukaryotic large subunit ribosomal RNA", at positions 55 to 1250 of the family's 3401-position model. Lineage: Eukaryota; Metazoa; Platyhelminthes; Trematoda; Strigeidida; Schistosomatidae. The record is from RNAcentral.
GGAAAAGAAACUAACAAGGAUUCCCCUAGUAACUGCGAGUGAACAGGGAUUAGCCCAGCACCGAAGCCUGUGGUUAUUUGACUGCAAGGCAAUGUGGUGUUUAGGUUUGUUCUUGGCAUUACUGCUCUGCCCCAAGUCCAGCAAUGAGUACGGCAUACCGUUCUGGCCCAUAGAGGGUGAAAGGCCCGUGGGGGUAGAGACCAAGCAUGACAGUUUUGUCCAGAGCUUACCUUGGAGUCGGGUUGUUUGAGAAUGCAGCCCAAAGUGGGUGGUAAACUCCAUCCAAGGCUAAAUACUUGCACGAGUCCGAUAGUAAACAAGUACCGUGAGGGAAAGUUGAAAAGUACUUUGAAGAGAGAGUAAACAGUGCGUGAAACCGCUCAGAGGUAAACGGGUGGAGUUGAACUGCGAUCCUUGGGAAUUCAGCUGAUGAGCAUGAUUUGUGCUUGGGCAUAUUGACCGCCCUUCAGUGUCUGCUUAGCUGCGGGUGCCUGCCUCUGGUGGGUAUGUGUGGUGCGCUUAUCAUGUGCCGCACGCAUUGGAGGGUGUAUGAGUCUGCUUGUCGGUGCACUUUCUCAGGGUGUUCACCACGACCGGCACUGCUGUCUGUCUGCUUUGGUCAAACUGAUCAGGUCUGAUUAACGUUGGGCUUGGUUGGGUUGGCAGGUGACUCACUGGUCCAUUCUGUGGGCUAUGAGUGUUACUAGCCGGCUUUAGUGGAUCUGUACGGUGUGUCGGAGACGGCGGCUUUGCAUAUGCGCUCUGUCCUUCAGGCGUGGUUGAGUCUGGUCGACUUGUUGCUAGUUUCGGCUGGUCAGUUGAUGGCUUGAUCAUGUUCAGUUGGCAGUGGUGUGUGUGUCUUAGUUUGGGCCAAUAGUCUGUGGUGUUGUGGUAGACUAUCCACCUGACCCGUCUUGAAACACGGACCAAGGAGUUUAACAUGUGCGCGAGUCAUUGGGCUUUACGAAACCCAAAGGCGCAGUGAAGGUAAAGGUUUGGCUUGUCCAGGCUGAGGUGAGAUCCUGUUGUUUUGGUCAUUCAUUCCAAGCUGCGAGCAGCAGGCGCAUCACCGGCCCGUCCCAUGACGUAGACAUGUGGCCUUGUGCCAUGUGCACCGUCGGGGCGGAGCAAGAGCGUACAUGUUGAGACCCGAAAGAUGGUGAACUAUGCUUGCGAAGGUUGAAGCCAGAGGAAACUCUGGUGGAGGACCGUAGCGAUUCUGACGUGCAAAUCGAUCGUAUAACGUGAGUAUAGGGGCGAAAGACUAAUCGAACCAUCUAGUAGCUGGUUCCCUCCGAAGUUUCCCUCAGGAUAGCUGGCAUUCUGAGAUAUAAACAGUUUUAUCCGGUAAAGCGAAUGAUUAGAGGCAUUGGGGAGAAAACAUCCUCAACCUAUUCUCAAACUUUAAAUGGGUGAGAAGCUUAACUCGCUUAAAUGGAGUUUUGCAUUGAAUGUGAGUGCCAAGUGGGCCAUUUUUGGUAAGCAGAACUGGCGCUGUGGGAUGAACCAAACGUGCGGUUAAGGUGCCUAACGCGACGCUCAUGAGAUACCACAAAAGGUGUUGGUUGGUCCAGACAGCAGGACGGUG